UGCGCCUUCAUCCUUCCUCCAGGAUGCAGUGGCUGUCUGCGAAGACAGUCUGAGACAUCGCAGCCCCAAGUUUCAGCUCUGGGUGCUACGAUGGGCCACUGGCCGGGCUCAGGUGGUCACUUAACCCCGUGCGCAUUCCUCCUACAGAUUAGAAGGAGGCCCUGGGAAGUCCUGGACUCACACACCUCGGCCGUCCAAAGGAGCCCUUAUAGGGGCAGUGCGCUCCCCAGGCAGUGAGAGUGGCACCGCCAAACUCCUUCCCUGGGAACUACGCUCAGCAUCAGCAUCAGCAUCAUCUCAGCAUCAAGCCGCUGAACUUUGAACUGUGUCUGAGACAAAGUGCGGAUUCUGAGCAUCCACAACUCUGCCUGCGGACUUGUCUUCAGCCCAGCAAGGAGGACAAGCAGGAAGUGCUGGAAUGUUAAUCCCCUGGAAGCAGCUCAACCAAAAAUGCAAAGGGAAUCGAGGAGUCAACACUCUAGAUUGCUUAUGUCUCAAUUGGGAUGAUGCAGGAAUUCCUAGACAGUCUCCCAGAA
Camelus dromedarius (Arabian camel) is the source of this 536-nucleotide long non-coding RNA. RefSeq lists it as uncharacterized. Lineage: Eukaryota; Metazoa; Chordata; Mammalia; Artiodactyla; Camelidae. The transcript has 3 exons. The record is from RefSeq and is a predicted model, not a curated record.